GACGGGGGGGGCAAGUGUUCUUCGGAAUCACUGGGCGUAAAGGGUGCGUAGGCGGGUUUUUAAGUCAGGGGGGAAAUCCUGGAGCUCAACUCCAGAACUGUCUUUGAUACUGAAGAUCUUGAGUCCGGGAGAGGUGAGUGGAACUGCGAGUGUAGAGGUGAAAUUCGUAGAUAUUCGCAAGAACACCAGUGGCGAAGGCGGCUCACUGGCCCGGUACUGACGCUGAGGCACGAAAGCGUGGGGAGCAAACAGG
RNAcentral lists this ribosomal RNA (253 nucleotides) under uncultured bacterium. RNAcentral describes it as "partial 16S ribosomal RNA". It matches the Rfam family "Bacterial small subunit ribosomal RNA", at positions 524 to 776 of the family's 1533-position model. The record is from RNAcentral.